This 403-nucleotide ribosomal RNA is filed under the name uncultured bacterium. RNAcentral describes it as "partial 16S ribosomal RNA". It matches the Rfam family "Bacterial small subunit ribosomal RNA", at positions 30 to 526 of the family's 1533-position model. The record is from RNAcentral.
AUUGAACGCUGGCGGCAGGCCUAACCCAUGCAAGUCGAGCGCGCGGCGGACGGGUGAGUAAUGUAUGGGGACUGCCCGAUAGAGGGGGAUAACUACUGGAAACGGUGGCUAAUACCGCAUACUAUCGGAUAACCCAGAUGGGAUUAGCUUGUAGGUGAGGUAACGGCUCACCUAGGCGACGAUCACUAGCUGGGCUGAGAGGAUGAACAGCCACACUGGGACUGAGACACGGGCCAGACGCCUACGGAGGCAGCAGUGGGGAAUAUUGCACAAUGGGCGCAAGCCUGAUGCAGCCAUGCCGCGUGUAUGAAGAAGGCCUUCGGGUUGUAAAGUACUUUCAGUCGGGAGGCGUUACCGACAGAAGAAGCACCGGCUAACUCCGUGCCAGCAGCCGCGGUAAUAC